AACAGGAUCACUUGAGGAACUACCAAGAGCCAGGGGGCUUCAAUGAGUCAGAGGUUAAAGGGAGAGAGAAAGAAGAGGUGUGGUUGCAGAUGGCAUUCCUGAAUUGGUGGCUGCUAAAGAGGGUGGAAACACAGGAGGCCGGCCAUUCCAGAGGACAGGAUGCACAGAUACUUUGGAUUUCCGAUUUCAAAGCCUCCAUAUUUAACCACAAAACAGAUCCAGGAAAGAAAGCUUCUGCAUCCGCCCAUCUUCAGAAAGACCAGAAGAGAUAUGUGCCUUUGUAGGCACAUACACUUGACUUGCAUAUCAGUGUUUGGGGCCCUUGAGAAAAGAUGUUUGGGUGGGCAUGGUGGUGCAGGCUGUAUUCCUACCAUUUGGGAUGAUGAGGCAGAUGAGGCAGGGAGAUUGUAAACUCUGUAUCUAGGAUCCAUCCCCAAAGAAAAGUGAGCAUGAUGGUCUCAGAGCACUUGCUACUCUGAACUAGCUGUAGUGGAACAGUGGCUGAAUAUGCAUUUAUUGUUCAAUAAAAUGUGCAUGUUCAGUGUUUUAUAGAUAGCUCAUGAGAGCCUUGAAAUAUUCUUAUGAAUUCAGCUUGGUGAUUCAUCAUUUUGCCUGAGUCAAGAGAGAUGCAGGCUGAGUACCUCUCCCUCACCCAGCUCUAGCAACUGUGUGGGGAUACCCAUACAGGCCUGUGCCUCUAGGGGACUUGCCUUUCCUGGAUCCGUCUCUGCUUCCCAGUGCCACUCCGUUCUGCUUGCAGUGAAGCCAACCCAGAUUCUCCCUGUCCUUCCUCUGCCCAUGCUGUCUUCCUAACCUUGUCAGUUAACCCAAAUACAACUUGGGCCCUAAGAAGCAGAGGUGCCAAAGAAAAUGAGUCCUGAAUCACAAAGGCUUUUAAGCUACUUAUGUAGUUUGAACUGCUUAUAAAUCUGUGCUUAGUCAUUCAAAAUGUCACCUGAUUAACACAUACUUAAGGCUCAGCAGAGGCUUAACCACCUUUUUCUCCAUGGCUGCUACUCUCUACUCCUAAGACAGAAACAGAGCUCCA
Molecule: long non-coding RNA, 1048 nt
Organism: Onychomys torridus (southern grasshopper mouse)
Lineage: Eukaryota; Metazoa; Chordata; Mammalia; Rodentia; Cricetidae
Exons: 3
Source: RefSeq, a predicted model, not a curated record